RNAcentral lists this ribosomal RNA (742 nucleotides) under uncultured Pseudomonadota bacterium. Its description in RNAcentral is "bacterial SSU rRNA". It matches the Rfam family "Bacterial small subunit ribosomal RNA", at positions 28 to 759 of the family's 1533-position model. The record is from RNAcentral. Lineage: Bacteria; Pseudomonadati; Pseudomonadota.
AUUGAACGCUGGCGGCAGGCCUAACACAUGCAAGUCGAACGGUAACAGGAAGCAGCUUGCUGUUUCGCUGACGAGUGGCGGACGGGUGAGUAAUGUCUGGGAAACUGCCUGAUGGAGGGGGAUAACUACUGGAAACGGUAGCUAAUACCGCAUAACGUCGCAAGACCAAAGAGGGGGACCUUCGGGCCUCUUGCCAUCGGAUGUGCCCAGAUGGGAUUAGCUUGUUGGUGGGGUAACGGCUCACCAAGGCGACGAUCCCUAGCUGGUCUGAGAGGAUGACCAGCCACACUGGAACUGAGACACGGUCCAGACUCCUACGGGAGGCAGCAGUGGGGAAUAUUGCACAAUGGGCGCGAGCCUGAUGCAGCCAUGCCGCGUGUAUGAAGAAGGCCUUCGGGUUGUAAAGUACUUUCAGCGGGGAGGAAGGGAGUAAAGUUAAUACCUUUGCUCAUUGACGUUACCCGCAGAAGAAGCACCGGCUAACUCCGUGCCAGCAGCCGCGGUAAUACGGAGGGUGCAAGCGUUAAUCGGAAUUACUGGGCGUAAAGCGCACGCAGGCGGUUUGUUAAGUCAGAUGUGAAAUCCCCGGGCUCAACCUGGGAACUGCAUCUGAUACUGGCAAGCUUGAGUCUCGUAGAGGGGGGUAGAAUUCCAGGUGUAGCGGUGAAAUGCGUAGAGAUCUGGAGGGAUACCGGUGGCGAAGGCGGCCCCCUGGACGAAGACUGACGCUCAGGUGCGAAAG